RNAcentral lists this transfer RNA (63 nucleotides) under Curculionidae sp. BMNH 1039956. RNAcentral's name for it is "tRNA-Glu". It matches the Rfam family "tRNA". Rfam says of the family: Transfer RNA (tRNA) molecules are approximately 80 nucleotides in length. Their secondary structure includes four short double-helical elements and three loops (D, anti-codon, and T loops). Lineage: Eukaryota; Metazoa; Arthropoda; Insecta; Coleoptera; Curculionidae. The record is from RNAcentral.
UUUUUUAUAGUUUAAAGAAAACAUUACAUUUUCAAUGUAAAAUUAGAUUUAGUCUUAAAAAAA